ACGGGACCUUUCGGGGUUUAGUGGCGGACGGGUGAGUAACGCGUGAGAACAUGCCCUUAGGUUCGGGACAACAGUUGGAAACGGCUGCUAAUACCGAAUGUGCCGAGAGGUGAAAGAUUAAUUGCCUAAGGAUUGGCUCGCGUCAGAUUAGCUAGUUGGUGGAGUAAUGGUUUACCAAGGCGACGAUCUGUAUUUGGUCUGAGAGGAUGACCAGACACACUGGGACUGAGACACGGCCCAGACUCCUACGGGAGGCAGCAGUGGGGAAUUUUCCGCAAUGGGCGAAAGCCUGACGGAGCAAUACCGCGUGAGGGAGGACGGCUUUUGGGUUGUAAACCUCUUUUAUCAGGGAAGAAACAAAUGACGGUACCUGAUGAAUCAGCAUCGGCUAACUCCGUGCCAGCAGCCGCGGUAAUACGGAGGAUGCAAGCGUUAUCCGGAAUUAUUGGGCGUAAAGCGUCCGUAGGUGGUUUUUCAAGUCUGCUGUCAAAGCGUGGAGCUUAACUCCAUAUCGGCAGUGGAAACUGGGAGACUAGAGUGCGAUAGGGGUAACGGGAAUUCCCAGUGUAGCGGUGAAAUGCGUAGAGAUUGGGAAGAACACCAGCGGCGAAAGCGCGUUACUGGGU
RNAcentral lists this ribosomal RNA (626 nucleotides) under Oscillatoriales cyanobacterium Ep_Yyyy600. Its description in RNAcentral is "bacterial SSU rRNA". It matches the Rfam family "Bacterial small subunit ribosomal RNA", at positions 66 to 734 of the family's 1533-position model. Lineage: Bacteria; Bacillati; Cyanobacteriota; Cyanophyceae; Oscillatoriales. The record is from RNAcentral.